UUCGUUCGUUUACGGUCGAUUAAGCUUUCGGGUUUAUGACUGGAACUGUCCUCGUUUGGACACCGAGUGGCUCCUGUCCACUCUGUUUGACGCCUCCCUGUUAUCAACUUUCAAAGCCGCCGGUCUCCGGCGGCUCUUUUUUG
Bradyrhizobium sp. is the source of this 143-nucleotide non-coding RNA. The record is from Rfam. Lineage: Bacteria; Pseudomonadati; Pseudomonadota; Alphaproteobacteria; Hyphomicrobiales; Nitrobacteraceae.